Molecule: ribosomal RNA, 675 nt
Filed under: Cynoscion regalis (gray weakfish)
Lineage: Eukaryota; Metazoa; Chordata; Actinopteri; Sciaenidae
Description: partial 12S small subunit ribosomal RNA
Rfam family: Bacterial small subunit ribosomal RNA
Source: RNAcentral
CCACCGCGGUUAUACGAGAGGCCCAAGUAGAUAGUCAACGGCGUAAAGAGUGGUUAGAAGAAACCCGUUACUAAAGCCGAACGCCCUCAAAGCUGUUAUACGCACCCGAGGGUGAGAAGCCCACCCACGAAAGUGGCUUUACAACUUUGAACCCACGAAAGCUAUGACACAAACUGGGAUUAGAUACCCCACUAUGCUUAGCCUUAAACAUUGACAACAACAUACACCUGUUGUCCGCCUGGGUACUACGAGCAUUAGCUUAAAACCCAAAGGACUUGGCGGUGCUUUAGACCCACCUAGAGGAGCCUGUUCUAGAACCGAUAACCCCCGUUCAACCUCACCCUUCUUUGUUUUUCCCGCCUAUAUACCGCCGUCGUCAGCUUACCCUGUGAAGGGCCUAUAGUAAGCAAAAUUGGUACAACCCUAAACGCCAGGUCGAGGUGUAGCGUAUGGAAGGGGAAGAAAUGGGCUACAUUCUCUAACAUAGAGAAAACGAAUGAUGUACUGAAAUAUAUAUCUGAAGGAGGAUUUAGCAGUAAGCAGGAAGUAGAGUGUUCCGCUGAAAUUGGCCCUGAAGCGCGCACACACCGCCCGUCACUCUCCCCAAACUAAUUUAACUCAAUUAAAUAAAACUCCAAUACAGUAAAGGGGAGGCAAGUCGUAACAUGGUAAGUG